AUGGCGCAAUCUGACAUAAAAAUCAUCUGCUGGAACGUCCGUGGACUUAAUUCACGUGCUCGCCAUGAUGCCGUUCGCUAUAUCGUUCGCGACUCCCACGCCUCCAUUGUCUGUCUCCAAGAGACGAAGCUACAACUACUUGACGACUCCAUCAUCAGGGAGAUGCUUGGCCCUUGCUUCACCGCCAAUUACAUUGUCUUUCCUGCAUUCGGCACUAGAGGAGGAAUGAUCUUGGCCGCGUCAGACCGCUUCUUCACGCUGUUAGACUGCCAGGCUACUCCGGUCACCAUCUUCACCUCUGUCUCCAUGCUAAAUGAUAGCAUUGCCAGGACCAUCACUUGCGUCUAUGGUCCUUAG
RNAcentral lists this ribosomal RNA (357 nucleotides) under Triticum aestivum (bread wheat). RNAcentral describes it as "partial small subunit ribosomal RNA". Lineage: Eukaryota; Viridiplantae; Streptophyta; Magnoliopsida; Poales; Poaceae. The record is from RNAcentral.